Molecule: ribosomal RNA, 395 nt
Filed under: uncultured bacterium
Lineage: Bacteria
Description: bacterial SSU rRNA
Rfam family: Bacterial small subunit ribosomal RNA
Source: RNAcentral
AGUAACAUCCGGAAACGGGUAGCUAAUACCGCAUAGUUUUCUUGAUCGCAUGAUUGAGAAAGGAAAGACGGCCUUUGUGCUGUCGCCUAUGGAUGGACCCGCGGCGUAUUAGUUAGUUGGUGAGGUAACGGCUCACCAAGACGAUGAUACGUAGCCGACCUGAGAGGGUGAUCGGCCACAUUGGGACUGAGACACGGCCCAAACUCCUACGGGAGGCAGCAGUAGGGAAUCUUCCGCAAUGGACGAAAGUCUGACGGAGCAACGCCGCGUGAGUGAAGAAAAGGUUUUCGGAUCGUAAAACUCUGUUGUCAGAGAAGAACAAGUUGGAGAGUAACUGCUCCAGCCUUGACGGUAUCUGACCAGAAAGCCACGGCUAACUACGUGCCAGCAGCCGC